UGAUGUUUUUAAUGUUUUACUUGGACUCAUGGUUCUGGAGGCAGGAAGAGCUACGAUUCGGAGGGUGAGUGGGAAGCAGCAAGUGGAAGGGAAACCAGCAGACCUUGCCUUAAAGCAACCUAUUCUCAGGGUUGCAAGCCCGGCCCAGCAAGAGCAGAGAGGCUCCUGAGUCUGAGCAUCUUCUUCAGCCCCUGUGCCCAGCUCACACCUCCCCCCACCUCCUCCCACAGUGCAACAGGUGAUGGAGAGCCACAUCCUCAAACUGUUCCAGGGUACCCUGGGGCCUGCGGACCCGGAGUGAAGACAGCCUGUUGGGAACCCAGGCACUCAGGGACAAACCAGUCAGCCCACAACUGGCUUGGAAGGCAGCUCCUGGACAGUGGUGGGAAGAGCCCUCCCCAACAGGAACCAAUAAAUCUGUGCAGAACUUGAAGGGCUUCUGGGUGCCUCCCAGUGGGGCUUCCUGGAGGAAGUAACCGCCGAUACUUCUCACCCUGCCUUCUCACCCAGCACCCGCAGGUGGUAGAUGACUACACGGCCAAAAAAGUCGGUGGUAUCCUCAAAAGUCAACUUCAGCCGGUCCACCUCCAUGGUGGGGAUGGAGAAGGUGUGACCUCUUUUAGUCAAGGAAGUGGUGGUUUUGUCUCU
Molecule: long non-coding RNA, 648 nt
Filed under: Rattus norvegicus (Norway rat)
Lineage: Eukaryota; Metazoa; Chordata; Mammalia; Rodentia; Muridae
Description: long non-coding RNA NONRATT011426
Source: RNAcentral